UCAAGAAUGGGUUGUGGAUAAGCUCGGUUUGCUGCAAUGUCUACGUGUAUCUUCCAGUAGUGCCAUGAUUUUCUACAGCUUUUCUUAUUGCAUGAUGCUAGGUUUGGGUGUGCCAUCUCAUCACUAACUCAUCUCAUUGCCUUGCACUAUAACAACCUCAUAUCCAAGCAUCUUUUAGAAAAAUGGUAGUGAGAAACAUGUAAGGAUCAGCGUACUGUCACUUGUUUUGCUAUCCUCAGGGUUCCAGCGACAUUGAUCAACUGGGUAAGAUCUUUGCAGUGUUUGGAACUCCUCGAGAAGCCAGAUAUGACCUCCCUCCCUGAUUAUGUUGAAUACCAGUACUCUCCUCCUCAGCCCUUUCGCAUUUUGUUUCCUCAAGCGAGUGAAUGUUCACGUACGACCCGAAGCAAAGAAUCACUGCUCAGCAAGCACUAGAACAUAGUACGGAUAGAUAGUAUUUGAAGAGGAAGCUAGGUAUGGACAUUUUCCUUACUCCUGCACGGCGAUGAAGAUCACCGUCUACCAAUCACCCCAACCCGUAGUCACUACAUCUGUUGUUAAUUGUAUUUAUCAAGGUCAUUUAUUGAAACACAAAGUUGCAGAGAAUGAACUCGAAUGGAGUUAUCAGCGUUAGUGCAGCAGAGCUAGAUGAUUCACUCAGAAUCAAGUGAAUGAGGGUGCUCAUUAUGAAGGUCUUUAACAUCAGAGACCUUGCAUUUAAUUUAUUAGUAGUUUUAGGGUUUCGUAGCAUACAGUUGUAGAUGAUGGCUAUGAAAGCUAUGCAAUACCCUCAUCCAUGGAGACUCCAAAUGGCUGAAAUAUGGAGAGCAUUGAUAUGUUGGGUAGAAAAAACCAGGUGUGAGGGCACCUGUGCAACACCAACGUGAUCUUGUUUAAGGUUUUGCUUCUAGAUGCUCAUGAUUUUCUUAUGGUUUUACAAUAGUAUUUGAGGCUAAAACAAAUCUUAAAAAAAUUAAAUUAGAUGUAGAGAUUAGGGUAGAUUCUAACAGUUUUUAAGAAUUUGUCUUAAGAAUUCAAAGAUAUAGAUUAUUAGGAACAACUAGUUUUAAGAGUCAAAUUGUUCUCAUUGAGAUUUAUUUCCUAAUGGGUGUUAAGAAGUAUGGAAUUUGAGUUUCUCAUACAUAUAACAUAUUAUAUGGCUUCUGUAUUAAAACUCUAAUCUCCCAAAUAUUAGAGUUUAAAUACAAAGACAAAGAACAGUCCA
Non-coding RNA from Physcomitrium patens, 1225 nucleotides. The record is from RefSeq and is a predicted model, not a curated record. Lineage: Eukaryota; Viridiplantae; Streptophyta; Bryopsida; Funariales; Funariaceae.